RNAcentral lists this ribosomal RNA (607 nucleotides) under uncultured fungus. Its description in RNAcentral is "eukaryotic LSU rRNA". It matches the Rfam family "Eukaryotic large subunit ribosomal RNA", at positions 24 to 664 of the family's 3401-position model. The record is from RNAcentral. Lineage: Eukaryota; Fungi.
CCGCGCUGAACUUAAGCAUAUCAAUAAGCGGAGGAAAAGAAACCAACAGGGAUUGCCCCAGUAGCGGCGAGCGAAGCGGCAACAGCUCAGAUUUGAAAUCUGCCUUCGGGCCGAGUUGUAAUCUGUAGGGAAGUUCUUUGGCGCGGCACCUACCUAAGUCCCCUGUUACGGGGCGCCAUGGAGGGUGAGAGCCCCGUAAGGCGGGUCGCCUAGCCUCUGUAAGACUUCUCCGACGAGUCGAGUAGUUAGGGAAUGCUGCUCUAAAUGGGAGGUAUAUUCCUUCUAAAGCUAAAUACCGGCCAGAGACCGAUAGCGCACAAGUAGAGUGAUCGAAAGGUGAAAAGCACUUUGAAAAGAGAGUGAAAUAGCACGUGAAAUUGUUGAAGGGGAAGCGCUCUUGACCAGUCGCGCGCCGGGGGCUCAGCCUUUGGUGUACUCCCUUCGGCGCGGGUCAGCAUCGGUUCUAGCGGCGGGAUAGAAGCACUGGGAACGUGGCUCUACGGAGUUUUAUAGCCCAGUGCGCACUACCGCCCGCCGGGACCGAUGAUCUUGCGCUUCGGCCAGGAUGCUGGCAUAAUGGUUAUAAGCGACCCGUCUUGAAACACGG